AAGACACUAGUAAAAUAUUACACUGCUUUGUCAUGGCAUAGUUGUAGGUUAAACCCCUGCGUGUCUUA
Molecule: transfer RNA, 68 nt
Filed under: Samaris cristatus (cockatoo righteye flounder)
Lineage: Eukaryota; Metazoa; Chordata; Actinopteri; Pleuronectiformes; Samaridae
Description: tRNA-Asp
Rfam family: tRNA
About the family: Transfer RNA (tRNA) molecules are approximately 80 nucleotides in length. Their secondary structure includes four short double-helical elements and three loops (D, anti-codon, and T loops).
Source: RNAcentral